AUGGAUAUUGCAAUUCUGAAUUGGAACGUCCGGGAAUUAAAUAACCCGGCAAAGAGAAGGGCUGUACAAUUGUUUGUCGCUGAGCUAAAGUGUAAUCUGAUUUGCCUGCAAGAAACUAAAAUCAAUGACAUGACCAGGAGCUUAGUGUUGGAGACCUUGGGGCACCGUUUUGCUGAUAAUUUCAUUACCUUACCUGCCAAUGGGUCUAGAGGAGGGGUAUUGCUUGCUUUCUCAGAUGAUUUUGAGAUUUCUGAGGUCCCCUUGGCAACAGGCGUUCACUCCAUCUCUGGUACAAUAAAGCAUAAAUCGGAUGGCAGCAGCUGGUCAAUCAUUGGGGUCUAUGGCCCUCAGUUAGAGGCUAAAAAAUUGGGGUUCAUUGCUGAGAUAAGAGGGAUUAAGCAACACAUGCUGCCGAAAUGGAUGGUUUUGGGAGAUUUCAACAUGAUCAGACGGGCUGAUGACAAGAGCAAUUUUAACUGCAAUCUCCGGAUGAUGGGCAGAUUCAGGGCACUCAUCGAGGAUCUGGAACUAAUUGAUUUCCCAUUGUUGGGGAGGAGGUUCACCUGGUCUAACGAGCGUCAAAACACCAAUCUCACCAAAAUUGACAGAGUGCUGGUAUCUGGCGAGUGGGAAGCUGCCUUUCCCCAAUUUCAGUUGAGCCCAGCAUCGACGAAUAUCUCCGAUCACUGCCCUUUAGUGCUGAAAAAGAUGCAGCUUGCUCACUGCAGGGCCUUUCAUUUCGAGAACCAUUGGCUAAAAUCUUCGGAGUUUGACGGGAUUAUUGAGCAAGCUUGGAGUAAAGAGGUCACAUCCGGGGAUCCAAUUAGGGUGAUGCACACAAAAUUGUCCAGAACUGCAGCGGCACUAAAAAAGUGGAACAAGCAGAAUGUGCGAUGGGCUUCUUUCAUGUCUAGAAUUGCAAAUGAAGUUAUCUUUCAGCUUGACCUUGCGCAAGAGAACAGACAAUUGACAGAAGCAGAGAGAAAGUUGAGGAGUCUACUAAAAGCCAAGUUGUUGGGAUUUGCGGCCAUUGAUAGAACUAGAUGGAGGCAGAAGUCAAGAUUGACCACGAUCAAGGAAGGAGAUGCCAGCACCCGUUUUUUUUCACCUCAGGGCCAACGGGCGGCGCAGGAAGAACCAUAUUCCAGUGCUAAAUGA
Molecule: ribosomal RNA, 1158 nt
Filed under: Triticum aestivum (bread wheat)
Lineage: Eukaryota; Viridiplantae; Streptophyta; Magnoliopsida; Poales; Poaceae
Description: partial small subunit ribosomal RNA
Source: RNAcentral